Non-coding RNA from Pimephales promelas (fathead minnow), 256 nucleotides. The record is from RefSeq and is a predicted model, not a curated record. Lineage: Eukaryota; Metazoa; Chordata; Actinopteri; Cypriniformes; Leuciscidae.
GUAUAUUUAAAUGCUGCGUGCGUGCCUUGUGUUUUGAUGCGCGUGCGCGUAAACAUUCGAGUCGCAUUCAAAGACAGGAGCGCGCGCGUUGCGCGAGCAGAUGGAAACAGAAAACGUCAUCAACUGGUACACAGCAAAACUAGCGUCUCUCGCUGUUUUCACUGCUUUCAGAAAUGGUUUUGUGUCUUCGAAAAAGUCCGUUAGCAUCCCAACCGUUUUCAGAAGAGCGCCUUUCUAGACACUCAAAACGCUUCAC